This 425-nucleotide ribosomal RNA is filed under the name uncultured bacterium. Its description in RNAcentral is "bacterial SSU rRNA". It matches the Rfam family "Bacterial small subunit ribosomal RNA", at positions 355 to 796 of the family's 1533-position model. The record is from RNAcentral.
UCGGGAAUUUUGGGCAAUGGGGGAAACCCUGACCCAGCAACGCCGCGUGAAGGAUGAAGUAUUUCGGUAUGUAAACUUCGAAAGAAUAGGAAGAAUAAAUGACGGUACUAUUUUAUAAGGUCCGGCUAACUACGUGCCAGCAGCCGCGGUAAUACGUAGGGACCAAGCGUUGUUCGGAUUUACUGGGCGUAAAGGGCGCGUAGGCGGCAUGACAAGUCACUUGUGAAAUCUCUGGGCUUAACCCAGAACGGCCAAGUGAUACUGUCGCGCUAGAGUGCAGAAGGGGCAAUCGGAAUUCUUGGUGUAGCGGUGAAAUGCGUAGAUAUCAAGAGGAACACCUGAGGUGAAGACGGGUUGCUGGGCUGACACUGACGCUGAGGCGCGAAAGCCAGGGGAGCAAACGGGAUUAGAUACCCCGGUAGUCC